Long non-coding RNA from Centruroides sculpturatus (bark scorpion), 189 nucleotides. RefSeq lists it as uncharacterized. The record is from RefSeq and is a predicted model, not a curated record. The transcript is spliced from 3 exons. NCBI's taxonomy places the organism in Eukaryota, Metazoa, Arthropoda, Arachnida, Scorpiones, Buthidae.
CUUUCAGGAAGCUCAAAGAAAAAUUCCGAGAAGAGAACAACGCCACUAAAGCAGGACACAGAUGACAAUCAAGAAACAACUAAGGAUCCAGAUAUAAUACCCCCGAAAAACGACUUCCUCGAUACGAUGGAUGGGCACAUUAAAAAAACCACUAUUAUUACAGCCGGUGAUCAAACACUGAAAGCAGUU